RNAcentral lists this ribosomal RNA (207 nucleotides) under uncultured Eubacteriales bacterium. RNAcentral's name for it is "uncultured Clostridiales bacterium partial 16S ribosomal RNA". It matches the Rfam family "Bacterial small subunit ribosomal RNA", at positions 568 to 774 of the family's 1533-position model. The record is from RNAcentral. Lineage: Bacteria; Bacillati; Bacillota; Clostridia; Eubacteriales.
AGCGUAGGCGGUUAAAUAAGUCUGAUGUGAAAGCCCGGAGCUCAACUCCGGGAUUGCAUUGGAAACUGUAUAACUAGAGUGUUGGAGAGGUAAGUGGAAUUCCUAGUGUAGCGGUGAAAUGCGUAGAUAUUAGGAGGAACACCAGUGGCGAAGGCGGCUUACUGGACAAUUACUGACGCUGAGGCUCGAAAGCGUGGGGAGCAAACA